UCGAACGAUGAACCACUUCGGUGGGGAUUAGUGGCGAACGGGUGAGUAACACGUGGGCAAUCUGCCCUUCACUCUGGGACAAGCCCUGGAAACGGGGUCUAAUACCGGAUAACACUUCCAUUCUCCUGAAUGGUGGUUAAAAGCUCCGGCGGUGAAGGAUGAGCCCGCGGCCUAUCAGCUUGUUGGUGAGGUAAUGGCUCACCAAGGCGACGACGGGUAGCCGGCCUGAGAGGGCGACCGGCCACACUGGGACUGAGACACGGCCCAGACUCCUACGGGAGGCAGCAGUGGGGAAUAUUGCACAAUGGGCGAAAGCCUGAUGCAGCGACGCCGCGUGAGGGAUGACGGCCUUCGGGUUGUAAACCUCUUUCAGCAGGGAAGAAGCGAAAGUGACGGUACCUGCAGAAGAAGCGCCGGCUAACUACGUGCCAGCAGCCGCGGUAAUACGUAGGGCGCAAGCGUUGUCCGGAAUUAUUGGGCGUAAAGAGCUCGUAGGCGGCUUGUCACGUCGGGUGUGAAAGCCCGGGGCUUAACCCCGGGUCUGCAUUCGAUACGGGCAGGCUAGAGUGUGGUAGGGGAGAUCGGAAUUCCUGGUGUAGCGGUGAAAUGCGCAGAUAUCAGGAGGAACACCGGUGGCGAAGGCGGAUCUCUGGGCCAUUACUGACGCUGAGGAGCGAAAGCGUGGGGAGCGAACAGGAUU
RNAcentral lists this ribosomal RNA (700 nucleotides) under Streptomyces sp. RNAcentral describes it as "bacterial SSU rRNA". It matches the Rfam family "Bacterial small subunit ribosomal RNA", at positions 62 to 779 of the family's 1533-position model. Lineage: Bacteria; Bacillati; Actinomycetota; Actinomycetes; Kitasatosporales; Streptomycetaceae. The record is from RNAcentral.